GAUUAACGCUGGCGGCGUGCCUAACACAUGCAAGUCGAACGAGGUAGCAAUACCUAGUGGCAGACGGGUGAGUAACGCGUGGUCAACCUACCGUUGAGUGGGGGAUAACUAGCCGAAAGGUUAGCUAAUACCGCAUACGUCUCCGAGAGGCAUCUCUUGGCGAAUAAAAGGAGCAAUCCGCUCGAUGACGGGACCGCGUCCCAUUAGCUAGAUGGUGGGGUAACGCCUACCANGGCUCCGAUGGGUAGCUGGUCUGAGAGAGCGACCAGCCACACUGGGACUGAGAAACGGCCCAGACUCCUACGGGAGGCAGCAGUGAGGAAUUUUCCGCAAUGGGCGCAAGCCUGACGGAGCGACGCCGCGUGUGGGAAGAAGGCC
Molecule: ribosomal RNA, 378 nt
Filed under: uncultured bacterium
Lineage: Bacteria
Description: bacterial SSU rRNA
Rfam family: Bacterial small subunit ribosomal RNA
Source: RNAcentral